Non-coding RNA from Phoenix dactylifera (date palm), 5193 nucleotides. The record is from RefSeq and is a predicted model, not a curated record. NCBI's taxonomy places the organism in Eukaryota, Viridiplantae, Streptophyta, Magnoliopsida, Arecales, Arecaceae.
AGAGAGGUAAAAAGUUCACAAAAAAAAAAACCUUGUUUUUAACCUUCUCUCUUCUAAAGCGACGUGGAUGAAGCCACCGCCCCUCUUCCCUCUCCGAGAUGUCGAACGUCGCCACUCUUCUCUACCCUUGCGCCAAAACCCUAGCCUCUACUAACCAAAGGCUCCCAUCUUUCGCUUCCCCGAGGCCGAGAACCCAUGCUCCCGGGAGAAUUUCCACCUUUCAUCGGCUACUCCCUUCCAUCCGACACCGUUGGAUCACCCUUCGGUGCUCCUCCGACCAAGCCGCGGGGGAACAGUUUGGCACCGAGAAUCAAAACGCCCAGGAUAAAUCGAACUCGAGCAAUAACUUUUGGACGAAGUGGAUGAUGUAUACAGGAGAAAUGAGAUCAAGAGUGGCGAAGCUGGGGCUCGCAGCUGUUCUAGCUUAUGGUCUCUUUGAUGGAGUGACCUACACGACCUUCUUUAUUCUUGCCUUUCUUGGUUAUGAGAAAAGUACUGGGAAGAACCCAGCAGCCAAUCUCCAGGCCCUCUUAGGGUGUUAAAAGCGAGGAGUUUGUAUGUGGUUGGAGGCAUACUGAAUACUAAGUGAGAGCUUUGUUCGUAUAUAACCAUUUAUGGGGCAGACAGACAAGAAGUAUGGUAUAAAGGCAGUGCAUUUCAGGUUAUAUAACAGAGUAAACGUAUGACUUAUAGUGAGGAAUGCAAGUUUUAUUUUCACCAAUGCAAUAACAUAAAUAUCUUGUAUGCUGCUAUUGUCUUAGCAGGUCCAAUAUAAUGUUAUCAUUUUCUAAAUGUAAAUACAUUUUCUAGUUGAUGUUGUAUUUCCCAUAUCCAACUGUUUGGUACUCCAAAAUUAUUUAAUAUUUCCAGAUCUUGUAAGAUUUAUUUUGUCAUAUCUUGCUUAUUCAUGAUUAGCUAUCCUAUAUAAUCUUAUUUAAUUUACUAAAUUACGUCUAAUAUACAACUUCAUCUGAUUUGAAUCCAACCACAUUUGUAUGCAAUGGAUUGUAGAGAGGCGUGAUGUCCAAAAUUAUAACUGAUGUCUUCAGCAAAUUCCCAAAAUUUUCGGCUAUUAGAUUCAUUUAUAAGACCUUACAAACUUGUACGGCCCAUCUAGAGAUAAAACAAGUGAUGCCUUCUCCAAAUUCACAAAAUUUUCCACCGUUGAAGGCAUUUAUAAACGCUUUUUUCUAUGGAAGGCAUUUAUAAGACUUUACAAACUUAUAUGUCCCAUAAAGAGAUAAAUUUCAAUGUGGGGAUAUAGUCAACUUUGUUGAAUCAAUUCAAGGUUGCUAAAUGUCAAGAAAAUCUGGUUACCUUCCCUCCUGGAUGGAUUUGAUUCAAUGAAUAAGCACAAGAAGUUGGCAUGAUAUCACAGCUCAAAUUAUAUUGACAUUCCCAUCAUGAUUUAAGGUGAUUUAGUCACUUUCACAAAAAAAAGGAGGUUAUGUACUUGAUGUAUUACAAAGCAGAUGAGAUAUAAGAGGGUUUGGCCUUCAAGAUCAUUGAUUCUGCAUUGACAAGAUUCAGAUGUGGGAAAUCAACGAGAAAUCCCUUUUCCUUUGUUGUGAAUACUAGCAAAACAAUUUUCAGCAUAACAUUCACCAAAUUGUGACAAGAACCUGUUUUCUUAUGCAAAAUAUUUGAUCUUUUUUGUUUCAUGGAGCAUAGUAUAACUAUUAGCAAAGAAUCUGUAAAACACUCCCUGAUCUCUCAUUAAGCAAAACCAGUCAAUGAGCAUGAAGAUCUUAAUCCGGCUUCAGAGCAAUCAUUACCCUUUUCUUCCUUUUUUUCCCUUUAUUUUAAAAGGAAAGGUGAAAAUCCACUUUGUUUCUAUUAAGAAACAAAAAACAGCCUGCAGUAUAAGCUCGGAUUGUGCAGUUUAAAUCUGCAAGCUGAGAGAGACCAGGCACCUAAAGAAUAAAGAAGGACCACCCCAAUAAACAACUAAAUCAUCGCCAAGCAACAGCAUGGAAGUUCAUACAUCAAGAACAUAGUUCUCUGUCUUAGUCUGUCUGAUCCACAUGCACCCAUUCGAAGUGAAGUCUCAAUCCCUAAUCUGUUGGACACUAUUGUAUGAUAUAAAUGCUUACUUUGGUUUCAACUGUCCUUCAGUUUGGCUACUAAAAGAUGGUUAUUACCUCUACAAUACUUGUUUUGGGUUAUUGACUCUUUUGAUAGUUUGUACAAUUUAAUAGAUAGUGAUCAUAAUGUGGACUGGAAACAAUGUUACAAGACCAUUUCGAGUUGCUGGGGCAGCUGCAUUGGCACCAGUCAUUGAUAAAGGAUUAAAGAGGAUACAGAAGUACUUUAAUUUUCCGAGUCAAAUCUAUGCCUUUUCCCUUGUGGUGGGCAUUGUAGCUGCAACCUGCCUCAUGGUUGUUGGUCUGCUGAUACUCUCAAAAUGGGGAAAAUAGACAACUAAGACACUACGCAUCAAAAGAGCACCGAGAGACUGCUAAUGCUGAAAUCCAGGUGCAGUUCCUACCUAUUCUCGCAACAGAAAUCACAUGUUUGGGCAAGAAGUGUGUACAUCUUUUUUAAAUCAUCCCCUUUAUUACACUGCAGUAAUUGUAUCCUUAUGAUGCUAUGUUUAGACCAACUGCUAGGUGAUAUAUAAGCCAACAUAAUGCAACUGGAUAUCAAAUUUUAUAUUUGCAAAAUUAGGGCAUCAGUCAUGCUUCACCCUGGACGAUGAAACAAUUCAGUGAAAUUGUUGUGUUCAUUGAUAUUUAGGUGACCCACAAAGUUAUAAACAGCAUACCAUCUCUUACAAGUUUGCUUUCCUAUAAGUAUUAUAUGCUUGCAGCUUCAAAGACAAAAAAAUAUUAAAAAUCCUGGGUGAAAAUAUAUUGCAUUCUGUGACUGCUAAACCUGUUGUGAAUUAGUAAUAUUCUGCAUCAGCUGACCUCAAGUUAAACUUUUCAAGGACCUUAGAUGGUUGAUCAUGGAGAAGAUACUUAAAGGAAAAGAAGGAAAAAAAAAUCUAUUGAAUUUAUCACUUAGGAGAACCAGCAAAAAAAGCACACUGAGGUAGUUGAAGUAAGUCGAUCCAGUUUUUAGUCUGGAUGGUAGCAUGUCUGAGUUGAAAAAGUUAACAGCUGUUUUAGAAAGAAGGGAGAAGGCUGCAAUUUUGACGAACUUUCAGUUUUGGAGAACACUUUCAUAGGCAAUCAAACAUUUGAUAAGGGACUUAAUUACAAUCUGCUCUACAUAUCUUUCAAGCAGAUGGCUUUUUUAAAUCAUUACUUCCACUGUUAUGAAGGCUAAGGUAUUGCACUGCUGCUUCCAUCAGUAUGCAUUGUAAGAAACCAGACUUAUUACAAGGUACUGUUACUUUCAAGACUGAAUUGAGGAGCAAAAUGGUGGAUUUAUAUAUUUCUUGUCAGUUGUAAACAUAUCUGUAACCAUCAUUACUAUUAUGUAUUUGUAGAUAUAGAUGUCUCAUUUGAAACUUGUGCUCGAUAAUACCAGAGAGCAUGUGACAGCCUUUUGUAUGCAGGCAUUCAUUAGGCUAUAUUGUCCAAGUUGGACUGAGGUAUUUUUAUCUUGCCAUCAUAUGAAUUUAGUCAAUUUAUCUCUAAACAACACUUCUAAGAGAUUGUAUUAAGGCUUGAACUUUUGUCUCUCCUAAUGCCUGAAUUUUGAUAAUACGCUAACUCAUUAUUUAAAAUUGAACAUUUAUGAAUAUAUAAUGCAUGAUUUCCUUCACCAUCCAAGAGAUGCAUAAUGAUUCUUUAUGCAAGAAACUGCUUCCAGUCAUCCAAUAAAUGAAGUUGCUUUAUAUGAAAGGUCAAUCCAAUCUUUUCCUAGUUAACCAUAAAUUGCUUCUUUGAAUAACUCCAAAAUCUUUACCCCUCUGAGCUAGAUCUGCAAUAUAAGGUUGACAUAUUGUUGAGUAUUUCUUCUGAAUAUGUUAUUUUCUGUUUUCUUGGCAGAUCAUCCUUAAUUCUUAUGGUUACAUUGGGGCACAUAUUCCUAAUUUUAACAUCUCUCUACAGGGUAAAAUUUGAAUCCUCAGCCUCCUAAGGAAAGGAUUCCCUUAUUUGUCUUUUUGCUUGAUAUUGUAAAUAUAUAGUAAUUUUCAGUCUAUUCCUUUUAAAGAUGAAUUUAGAACAUCAUAUUCAAAUUAAGCCUUCUGUUUAUAUCUUAUUCAGAAAUUUUUGUAGAACUUAAUUAUGACUUCAUAUCUCAAAUGAAACCAAUGUGAAAUCUUGUUCUAACUACGACUCUCAAAAAUAAACAACCCAAGAAUAUCGGAUCCAAUUUCAUGGAGUCGAGAUAUCAUAAAUAAGAAAGAGAUCCAUUUUGUUGGCUUUGGAGUUAGAAAUAUUCUUAUGGUGAAUAAAAUGCCUUAAAAUCUUAACACUAACUUAUUUGGAGAAAAAUAGUUUACCACAAGUAAAAGAAACCUCAUAAAUAUAUGGUUUCUUUUUUAUUCGGUAAACAAAGAUUACUUAAAUAUCUAAGGGCAUUUGGGACUAGGAAAUUUUAAGUUAUGAUACGAUAUUGUUGAUCUAGCCAUCGGUUCUUCCAAGCUGAAAUAUUUUGGGAACUUACAGAAACAAAGUAUCUUAUUUGGGAUUUGAAGGGUCAAACUAUAGUUUGCCCAGUAUACAGUAAUAUGCCCCUUACUCAGAGAUAGAAAUUCUGAUCAUCAAUGAGGCCUUGCAGAUCUGUAAUGCUUAAAUUUCCGGGGAGCUCGCCAAAUGACAUGCUGGUCACCAUAGGAUUCUCAGGCCCACCCUCUGUUCUUGGUUGCAAGUCAGUAGCAUAUGCUUGAUUAUACAUGGCUGCUUGGUUAUACAUGGCUGCUUGGUUACUUGAUGUGUGGAUGCUUGGCAUGCCAGAUGGAUUUGCAGGAAAGCUCCAAGUAGAUGCCGUUGGAACAGGACCCAUGGUUAUAUUGGGAACAGGUACAGGGCUUGGGGCCAUAUCUAAAAUGGCUGCCUGAGUGGCGCUGUUAUGCCAAAAAUAGAAUAAAGGAGAUUUUUAGCUUUCUCAGGAAUAGACUAUCCACAAUUUAUGAAUACUAUGUAUAUCUUCUAACAAAAUUUAUGAAGUUGUAUAAGUAUGUGAACCGGCUGUAGUCAUUAACAUCCUUAAAAGCAUGUGUUCUUGCUUCAUAUAAUAGAAACAACUUGUAGAAUUAUUUACCUGAAGUGAAGGUGGCAUAAAUAUCCAAGUUUGCUU